This 497-nucleotide ribosomal RNA is filed under the name uncultured bacterium. RNAcentral's name for it is "partial 16S ribosomal RNA". It matches the Rfam family "Bacterial small subunit ribosomal RNA", at positions 28 to 507 of the family's 1533-position model. The record is from RNAcentral.
GAUGAACGCUGGCGGCGUGCUUAACACAUGCAAGUCGAGCGAACAGGCGCGGAGCUUGUUGGUCUGUCGUGAGCGGCGGACGGGUGAGUAACACGUGGAUAACCUCCCUAUCAGACUGGGAGAAUUUCGGGAAACCGGCGCUAAUACCGGAUGAUAUAUUGAACCGCAUGGUUGAAUGGUGAGGGACGGCUUUUGUGUCAGUUGUAGAUGGAUCCGCGCCGCAUUAGCUUGUUGGUGAGGUAACGGCGUACCAAGGCGACGAUGCGUAGCCGACCUGAGAGGGGGGUCGGCCACACUGGAGCUGAGACGCGGUCCAGACUACUACGGGAGGCAGCAGAAGGGAAUCUUACGCAAUGGGCGGAAGCCUGACGGAGCAACGCCGCGUGAGUGGUGAAGGUCUUCGGAGCGUAAAACUCUGUUAUUAGGGAAGAACAAAUGUGUAAGUAACUAUGGACGUCUUGACGGUACCUGGUCAGAAAGCAACGGCUAACUACGUG